This 440-nucleotide ribosomal RNA is filed under the name uncultured bacterium. RNAcentral describes it as "partial 16S ribosomal RNA". It matches the Rfam family "Bacterial small subunit ribosomal RNA", at positions 338 to 795 of the family's 1533-position model. The record is from RNAcentral.
CCUACGGGUGGCAGCAGUGGGGGAUAUUGCACAAUGGGGGGAACCCUGAUGCAGCGACGCCGCGUGGGUGAAGAAGCGCCUCGGCGCGUAAAGCCCUGUCAGCAGGGAAGAAAAUGACGGUCCCUGAAGAAGAAGCCCCGGCUAACUACGUGCCAGCAGCCGCGGUAAUACGUAGGGGGCACGCGUUAUCUGGAUUUACUGGGUGUAAAGGGGGCGCAGUCGGCGAUGCAAGCCAGGAGUGAAAGCCCGGGGGCCAACCCCGGGACUGCGCUUGGAACUGCGUGGCUGGAGUGCAGGAGGGGCAGGCGGAAUGCGUGGUGUAGCGGUGAAAUGCGUAGAUAUCAGGAGGAACACCGGUGGCGAAGGCGGCCUGCUGGACUGCAACUGACGUUGAGGCCCGAAAGCGUGGGGAGCAAACAGGAUUAGAUACCCCUGUAGUC